ACGAAGGGUGCAAGCGUUACUCGGAAUUACUGGGCGUAAAGGGCGCGUAGGCGGUCAGCACAAGUCAGUUGUGAAAUCUCCGGGCUUAACUCGGAAAGGUCAACUGAUACUGGGCGACUAGAGUGCAGAAGGGGCAACUGGAAUUCUCGGUGUAGCGGUGAAAUGCGUAGAUAUCGAGAGGAACACCUGCGGCGAAGGCGGGUUGCUGGGCUGACACUGACGCUGAGGCGCGAAAGCCAGGGGAGCAAACGGGA
RNAcentral lists this ribosomal RNA (254 nucleotides) under uncultured prokaryote. Its description in RNAcentral is "partial 16S ribosomal RNA". It matches the Rfam family "Bacterial small subunit ribosomal RNA", at positions 525 to 777 of the family's 1533-position model. The record is from RNAcentral.